RNAcentral lists this long non-coding RNA (2242 nucleotides) under Bemisia tabaci. RNAcentral describes it as "lncRNA ENSSSA2NGG010803". Lineage: Eukaryota; Metazoa; Arthropoda; Insecta; Hemiptera; Aleyrodidae. The record is from RNAcentral.
AGUUUUACCAGGUGCACGGGAAGAUGGUUGGAGGCUCGUAGCGAUCGGCAUUGCUUAACAGUGGACAACUGAGGACUUCAUAUUUUUCUGGCUCUGAUCAUCUCCUCACGUGAGGCUUCUUUACACUAAGCAGCGGAAAUUCUAAUUUGAGAAACACAAAUGAAAAAAUGCCAUUUUCGAAGGAUGUCGAGGCUGACUACGAAGAAAGUACCACCAUGCAAAUGAAGAAAAUCUCCUGCUGAAAAAAACAAUCAAUCAGCAGCUAAAAUUAAUCAAAAAAUUAAAUGCGUCUCUGCAGUGGUAUGGAAGAAAGGACUCAAAGGACGAUGAAAGGUCGCCCUCUCAAGAUCCCGGCAGAGAGUGCCGUUUGCGAGAGUUAGAAACUUCCAAUAAAAUCUUAUCAAAUAAGGUAAGCAAAACUGUCAAUAUCUCUGUGCCAUUAACAUUGUGCCUUUCUACAAACUUGCAAAGCAAGUAGAGACUGCAUCAUUAAUGUAAAUGAGUACAAAAUUACAUUGACUCGCUAAUUAUAUUUCAAAUAUUUUUUAUACCUAGGUCAAGUGCUGAAACAGCAGCUGAUAUCACUCUCCUCAUUUCAAGCAACACCAAAGCCCCCUACUUCACGAGGUGUGUCGCCAUCCAAGGAGUCUGUCCACUCUUUGCCCUCCAAAAGGCCGAAAUCAUCCACCACGCCAUCUGAUCAACGGAAUCAAACGGAGUCAAUGAUGAGCACAGCCUUGGAGGAAAAAAUGAAUGGGCAACCUCUUUUCACAAUUGACGAAGACUUGGAAGGCCUCAGAGGUGGAAGUCAGUUGACGGUAUUUGAUGGCGAUCCUGGAAUGCGCUCAGAUUCGGCAGAAAGCGUCUGUGAUAUUUCUAGUAAACUUUUAGUCAAUGUUGAAGUCAUUCGAAUGAAGAGAAUGAUGAAAUGGCAGAAUGCUCAGCUGACAACUUUAUUAACCUGUGUUGACAAUUUGAAUCAAGAAAGUCAAUCGAUGAAGGAGACGAUGAACAGACUAUCCGAGGAAAAUAUUGAACUGAAGAGUUCCCUCUCGUUUGAAAAGAAAAGAUAUCAAAUGCUGCAACAAAAUAGCACCAACAAAGAGCAUGUGAAAGUGCUUGAGGAGCAAAUUCGGGAUCUGCAAGGUGAGAGAAACACUCUUCGAGAUCACAAUAAAAAAUUGUUGAGUUUAGCGGCAGAUCAUGAAUCUCAUAAAACUGAACAUAUCAGAGCAGUAAUAAAGCAGACCAGAGAUGUUGAAUGUCAGAUGUCUUGUGAUUCUUUCCCGGUGAAAGAAUCAACAACGAUUAAGUUCAGCGCACCAUCCCAGAGAAAAAAUCAGCGCAAGCACAAGUAUGAUGCACUAUCUCAUGAGGAGGUAUCAGUUAGCUCAAAACAUAGCAAACAAGAUAUUUCCUCAGACUUCUCCAACGCUCUUGAUCUCUCCUCGUCCAGUUCUGCCAUUCUUGAUACGGAUGAAGGUCUCUCAGACCACAGGCUCGGCGAACCCAUGGACACGGACCAAGUUGAAAGUGUUUCAUUCGGUGAUGCAAGUUAUUCAAAAAUUCCGAAAGAAAAAUCAUCUAACACUAUCUGUAAUAAUAAUAGCACAAAAAGGAAGAAAAGUAAAAUGGAAGUAGAUAAAAAUGGACAAGAACUUCAACCAAAUGCAACUGAUUGUAUUCCUUCAUCUGCCGGAAAUGAUAAUGAAAAACUAACUUCAAAGACUGAAUCCAAAGAUCUUCCCAACUUAGGAAAUGGUAAUGAAGAGCUUUUACGUGCGGAACUUUCGGAGAAAUUGUGUGAACUUGAGAGGUGUCGGCAGAUGCUCAAGAUUCAGUGUAAUCUCAACUCAAUUUACAAAGACGAGGUUGAAAAACUCUCAUCUCAGCUGAUCAAGGAGAGAGAAGAGACUCACAUUGAUGGUUCCGUCAGUGCGGUGGAAGUUAUGCUAAAAGAACAUUUGGCCAAACUAGAACAAUUUCAAGUCACCAAAACGCUUCGGUCUCACGAACAGCAAACUGACUCUCAAGAUUUUCCGGACAAAUCACGAGCAGCGGAGAAUAAAAGGAAGUAACGGUUGUUGUAGGAGUCAAAGAUGACAAUACUAGUUUAAUAGAAGAAGGUAGGAUUUUCAUUCUUUAGCAAUUUUCCUAGUUAGCGCAGACUUGAAGAGUUUUCACGUUUUGAAAAAGACAGCUCUUUCAAAAUGUAGCUAAUCUAAUUUUUACUCAAAUUCUA